GACGAACCGUGCAAACGUUGUUCGGAAUCACUGGGCUUAAAGGGCGCGUAGGCGGGCCGCCAAGUCUGUGGUGAAAGCCUCCAGCUCAACUGGAGAAGUGCCGUGGAUACUGGCGGCCUCGAGGAGGGUAGGGGCAUCUGGAACAGUAGGUGGAGCGGUGAAAUGCGUUGAUAUCUACUGGAACUCCGGUGGCGAAGGCGAGGUGCUGGACCCUUUCUGACGCUGAGGCGCGAAAGCCAGGGGAGCAAACGGGAUUAGAAACCCUCGUAGUCC
Molecule: ribosomal RNA, 273 nt
Filed under: uncultured bacterium
Lineage: Bacteria
Description: partial 16S ribosomal RNA
Rfam family: Bacterial small subunit ribosomal RNA
Source: RNAcentral